Molecule: small nuclear RNA, 107 nt
Organism: Suncus etruscus (white-toothed pygmy shrew)
Lineage: Eukaryota; Metazoa; Chordata; Mammalia; Eulipotyphla; Soricidae
Source: RefSeq, a predicted model, not a curated record
GUGCUCGCUUCGGCAGCACAUAUACUAAAACUGGAAUGAUACAGAGAUUAUUAGCAUGGCCCCUGCAGAAGGAUGAUACGCAAAUCUGUGAAGCAUUCCAUGUUUAA